GGCGGUAUUUUAGUCUAUUCAGAGGAACCUGUCUUGUAGUCGAUAAUCCACGAUGGACCUUACUUAAGUUUGUAUUCAGUUUAUAUACCGUCGUUAUUAGAAUAUUUUAUAAGAAGGUUAAUUUUCAAGAUUUUUAAAAAGAAAAUAUAUCAGAUCAAGGUGUAGCUUAUAUUUAAGUAUUGAUGGGUUACAAUAAAAUUAUUUAUAUGGAUAUAAAUUUGAAAAAUUUAUUGAAAGUGGAUUUGAUAGUAAAAUUAUAUAGAUUAAUAGUUUGAUUUUAGCUCUAAAAUAUGCACACAUCGCCCGUCACUCUUAUUAUUAAGGUAAGAUAAGUCGUAACAUAGUAGAUGUACUGGAAAGUGUAUCUAGAAUGCAAUUUAAAGCUUAUUAAGUAAAGCAUUUCAUUUACAUUGAAAAGAUUUUUGUGCAAAUCAAUAUAAAUUGAUUAAAUUUUAUUUAUUACAAAAAAAUUUUUUUUUAUAUAAAUUAUUAAAAAUAAUUAUUAAAA
RNAcentral lists this ribosomal RNA (508 nucleotides) under Sarcophaga forma. RNAcentral's name for it is "partial 12S ribosomal RNA". The stretch from base 1 to 376 matches the Rfam family "Microsporidia small subunit ribosomal RNA", at positions 789 to 1311 of the family's 1311-position model. The record is from RNAcentral. Lineage: Eukaryota; Metazoa; Arthropoda; Insecta; Diptera; Sarcophagidae.